UGCCUGAUGGACCACCUGAAAUGCAGCCUGCUGGUGCACAUGAAGGUGCAUCAAAACAUGCAAAUUGGUCACAUCCAAUGCCUCAUAGAAGUCCCCCACCACCUUCAUCUGGGGGAGGGGGAGGUGGGGGACAACUUGGUGCUUUCUGGUCCUCUCAACAUGCAAAGGACUCAUUCUCUGUUGAAGACAAUAGCAAACCUAAAUUCGAUGAAGAACCUAGCUAUAACGCAUCAAGACAUGAUAGGAACCGAAUGGAGAAUCAUACUUUAUCCAAAAGUUCCAUCCCUGCAAAAGAUGAAAAUGCACAAACUCAUUCUACUAGGAGGAAUGUGCAUGGCAAGUCACAAAUUUCUGAGGAUGGCAAUUCCAAGGACUUUGAAAUAAAUUUCUUCCAGAAAGACUUAGACCGUGGCACGGAGAGGCCGAAAACAUCAAAAAAUGAGAGCACAUCUUUAUUUCAAGAUGAGGCUUUUAAUACUUUUGUUACUGAAUUUGAUAGCAAUAAGCUGAACUCC
This 515-nucleotide unclassified non-coding RNA is filed under the name Hevea brasiliensis (rubber tree). Lineage: Eukaryota; Viridiplantae; Streptophyta; Magnoliopsida; Malpighiales; Euphorbiaceae. The record is from RNAcentral.